GGGCCCGCACAAGCGGUGGAGCAUGUGGUUUAAUUCGAUGCAACGCGAAGAACCUUACCAGGGUUUGACAUGCACGGAUUAACCCUGUGAAAGCAGGGCCACGCCUUCGGGUGGAACGUGCACAGGUGCUGCAUGGCUGUCGUCAGCUCGUGUCGUGAGAUGUCGCGUUAAGUCGCUUAACGAGCGAAACCCUUGUCUCUAGUUGCCAGCGAGUAAAGUCGGGGACUCUAGAGAGACCGCCGGUGUUAAACCGGAGGAAGGUGGGGAUGACGUCAAGUCCUCAUGGCCCUUAUGGCUAGGGCUGCACACGUCCUACAAUGGCACGCACAAAGGGAUGCUAACUCGUGAGAGCACGCAAAUCCCAAAAAUCGUGCCCUAGUUCGGAUUGCAGGCUGCAACUCGCCUGCAUGAAGCUGGAAUCGCUAGUAA
Molecule: ribosomal RNA, 429 nt
Filed under: uncultured bacterium
Lineage: Bacteria
Description: bacterial SSU rRNA
Rfam family: Bacterial small subunit ribosomal RNA
Source: RNAcentral